This 817-nucleotide ribosomal RNA is filed under the name uncultured Delftia sp. RNAcentral's name for it is "bacterial SSU rRNA". It matches the Rfam family "Bacterial small subunit ribosomal RNA", at positions 8 to 819 of the family's 1533-position model. Lineage: Bacteria; Pseudomonadati; Pseudomonadota; Betaproteobacteria; Burkholderiales; Comamonadaceae. The record is from RNAcentral.
AGAGUUUGAUCAUGGCUCAGAUUGAACGCUGGCGGCAUGCCUUACACAUGCAAGUCGAACGGUAACAGGUCUUCGGACGCUGACGAGUGGCGAACGGGUGAGUAAUACAUCGGAACGUGCCCAGUCGUGGGGGAUAACUACUCGAAAGAGUAGCUAAUACCGCAUACGAUCUGAGGAUGAAAGCGGGGGACCUUCGGGCCUCGCGCGAUUGGAGCGGCCGAUGGCAGAUUAGGUAGUUGGUGGGAUAAAAGCUUACCAAGCCGACGAUCUGUAGCUGGUCUGAGAGGACGACCAGCCACACUGGGACUGAGACACGGCCCAGACUCCUACGGGAGGCAGCAGUGGGGAAUUUUGGACAAUGGGCGAAAGCCUGAUCCAGCAAUGCCGCGUGCAGGAUGAAGGCCUUCGGGUUGUAAACUGCUUUUGUACGGAACGAAAAAGCUCCUUCUAAUACAGGGGGCCCAUGACGGUACCGUAAGAAUAAGCACCGGCUAACUACGUGCCAGCAGCCGCGGUAAUACGUAGGGUGCGAGCGUUAAUCGGAAUUACUGGGCGUAAAGCGUGCGCAGGCGGUUAUGUAAGACAGAUGUGAAAUCCCCGGGCUCAACCUGGGAACUGCAUUUGUGACUGCAUGGCUAGAGUACGGUAGAGGGGGAUGGAAUUCCGCGUGUANCAGUGAAAUGCGUAGAUAUGCGGGAGGAACACCGAUGGGCGAAGGCAAUCCCCUGGACCUGUACUGACGCUCAUGCACGAAAGCGUGGGGAGCAAACAGGGAUUAGAUACCCUGGUAGUCCACGCCCUAAANCGAUGUCACUGG